RNAcentral lists this ribosomal RNA (301 nucleotides) under uncultured bacterium. Its description in RNAcentral is "partial 16S ribosomal RNA". It matches the Rfam family "Bacterial small subunit ribosomal RNA", at positions 509 to 809 of the family's 1533-position model. The record is from RNAcentral.
CAGCCGCCGCGGGAACACGUAGGGGGCAAGCGUUAUCCGGAAUUAUUGGGCGUAAAGCGCGCGCAGGCGGAUCAGUCAGUCUGUCUUAAAAGUUCGGGGCUUAACCCCGUGAGGGGAUGGAAACUGCUGAUCUAGAGUAUCGGAGAGGAAAGUGGAAUUCCUAGUGUAGCGGUGAAAUGCGUAGAUAUUAGGAAGAACACCAGUGGCGAAGGCGACUUUCUGGACGAAAACUGACGCUGAGGCGCGAAAGCCAGGGGAGCGAACAGGAUUAGAUACCCGAGUAGUCCCUGUCUCUUAUACA